UACGUAGGGCGCAAGCGUUGUCCGGAAUUAUUGGGCGUAAAGAGCUCGUAGGCGGUUUGUCGCGUCUGCUGUGAAAACCUAAGGCUCAACCUUGGGCUUGCAGUGGGUACGGGCAGACUAGAGUGCGGUAGGGGUGACUGGAAUUCCUGGUGUAGCGGUGGAAUGCGCAGAUAUCAGGGAGGGAACACCGAGUGGGCGAAGGCAGGUCACUGGGCCGCAACU
RNAcentral lists this ribosomal RNA (222 nucleotides) under uncultured bacterium. Its description in RNAcentral is "partial 16S ribosomal RNA". It matches the Rfam family "Bacterial small subunit ribosomal RNA", at positions 524 to 741 of the family's 1533-position model. The record is from RNAcentral.